CCUACGGGAGGCUGCAGUGGGGAAUAUUGCACAAUGGGCGCAAGCCUGAUGCAGCCAUGCCGCGUGUGUGAAGAAGGCCUUCGGGUUGUAAAGCACUUUCAGCGGGGCGGAAGGCGUUAAGGUUAAUAACCUUGGCGAUUGACGUUACCCGCAGAAGAAGCACCGGCUAACUCCGUGCCAGCAGCCGCGGUAAUACGGAGGGUGCAAGCGUUAAUCGGAAUUACUGGGCGUAAAGCGCACGCAGGCGGUCUGUCAAGUCGGAUGUGAAAUCCCCGGGCUCAACCUGGGAACUGCAUUCGAAACUGGCAGGCUAGAGUCUUGUAGAGGGGGGUAGAAUUCCAGGUGUAGCGGUGAAAUGCGUAGAGAUCUGGAGGAAUACCGGUGGUGAAGGCGGCCCCCUGGACAAAGACUGACGCUCAGGUGCGAAAGCGUGGGGAGCAAACAGGAUUAGAUACCCUAGUAGUC
This 465-nucleotide ribosomal RNA is filed under the name uncultured Klebsiella sp. RNAcentral's name for it is "bacterial SSU rRNA". It matches the Rfam family "Bacterial small subunit ribosomal RNA", at positions 338 to 795 of the family's 1533-position model. The record is from RNAcentral. Lineage: Bacteria; Pseudomonadati; Pseudomonadota; Gammaproteobacteria; Enterobacterales; Enterobacteriaceae.